This 394-nucleotide ribosomal RNA is filed under the name uncultured bacterium. RNAcentral's name for it is "bacterial SSU rRNA". It matches the Rfam family "Bacterial small subunit ribosomal RNA", at positions 29 to 406 of the family's 1533-position model. The record is from RNAcentral.
AACGAACGCUGGCGGCGUGCCUAACACAUGCAAGUCGUGCGAGAAAGUUCCUUCGGGAGCGAGUAAAGCGGCGCACGGGUGAGUAACACGUAGGUAACCUGCCCCCCAGUCUGGAACAACUAGAGGAAACUCUAGCUAAUGCCGGAUGAGACCACGAUCCCUUCGGGGGUUGCGGCCAAAGAUGGCCUCUACUUGUAAGCUAUCGCUGAGGGAUGGGGCCUGCGGGCCAUUAGCUUGUUGGUGAGGUAACGGCUCACCAAGGCUGUGAUGGCUAGCUGGUCUGAGAGGAUGACCAGCCACACUGGGACUGAGACACGGCCCAGACUCCUACGGGAGGCAGCAGUGGGAAUAUUGCGCAAUGGGCGAAAGCCUGACGCAGCGACGCCGCGUGGGU